This is a transfer RNA of Trichoderma harzianum, 63 nucleotides long. It matches the Rfam family "tRNA", at positions 1 to 62 of the family's 71-position model. From Rfam's summary of the family: Transfer RNA (tRNA) molecules are approximately 80 nucleotides in length. Their secondary structure includes four short double-helical elements and three loops (D, anti-codon, and T loops). The record is from Rfam. NCBI's taxonomy places the organism in Eukaryota, Fungi, Ascomycota, Sordariomycetes, Hypocreales, Hypocreaceae.
UCUUCCGUAGUAUAGUGGUCAGUAUGCAAGCUUGUCACGCUUGAGACCCGGGUUCAAUUCCCG